AAGGUCAGGUGUAUAUGCAUUGAUGCAACCCUGAAAUAAGGUAGGCUGAAGUUAAUAUCUUUCUUGGAUAUUAGAGUCGCUGACCAGAAGGUCUGCAGGGUGUUUAUUAUGUUGAUGUAAGGAAUUAGGUCAGCUGUGUGUAUUGUAUCCUAUAAAUACAACCUCAUGCAUGUACGUUAAAUAGACGCAAGUAGCUUGUUGUAACAAGAUAGAAAAAGGGAGCAGAAGCUCUGUGUUUGUGAAACAAAAAAAGGCUGUAGCCUAAGUACUCUGUGUAAGGCAAAAUUCAGCCAUAACCUUAUUUCACAUAUAUAUAAUAGUGUGCUUGUGUUUAGAUUUCUGUUUUUAUUUCCCACCAUACAGUAAACAUAUAAAGCCUAUUCACGUUUCCAACAUCGCGAGUUUUUGUUCUCCCUUCUCAGGUUCAUAUUUUGUUUCUCUGUUAUAUAUAAAUAUAGGUCCAUCAGUAAUUAAUGACUUCUCAUACUAAUUUUCACUUCUUUUCUCAAAUUUGCUUCCACUGCUAUUCUAAUCCACGAAGAUCUAGGCAGCCAUUGAUAUAUGAAUGGAACAGUUAAAUAUGUUGCAUUUCAUGUGCUUUCACCCGAGGGUGACCGGGGUCUUACAAUAUUCGAAGUUGCAGACAAGAUUCAAAUCUGACAACAAGCAUGACACCAGAAGCCUGAAUUGCUGCUGCCUUUUCAAGGGUUCCAAGCUUUUUGAGAGGACAGCUACAUCAACUUGUUACAAGAAUGGAAUCUUAGGUGGAGAAGUUGAGGAUUUUGAUAAAGAUGAAGCAGACAGCAGAGAUGGAGACUGAAGAGACAAUGACGUAUAUGCUCCAAGACGGAUCAAGACCCUCCUCAGAUGAACCUUCUAGUUUAAGUUAAGUAAUAUUUGCCCUGUAUAUAUAUAUCUCUUGUACUAGCUCGCAAUUAAAAUAUUAAAAUUUAUUAUCAUGUCAGUGUUUGAUAUGUUUUACGGCCUCUUUAUUUUAAAAACUAUUUUGAAGGAUGUGUUAUAUAUAUGAUUACUAAAACGUAUUUAUACAUUCGCUUUCAAAUACACCUCUCAUUAAGAUACCCCCUCUCCAGGCAGAAAACCUCUCAUUGAGUCAUCAAGUAAUCUAUCUAAACCACUAAAUUUGCCAUAAUCUUUAGUUGUUAACAAUAGAUGAACCCUCAAAACAUUCUAGCUAGGAGUGAGCAGGAAUUCCAAUCCCCCGGUCUGAAUUCAAGAUGAUGUUUAUCAUAAAAUUCAAUACAUUGGAGGGAAAAGCUUGAAAGAAAACAACAAGGCUUCAAACAAGGAACUUGAAGUCAUUUUUGAAGUAUUACUACAAAAUGUAUGUGUGUAUAAUAAGUUAAAAAUCGACUUAAUGAGUCAAAAACCGACUUCAUGUUAUAAAUAUAAGCAAAAAACGACUUCAUGUCACAAGUUGUUUUGAGUCAUGUCCUAGCUUUUAGUUUUUUUUGUUUUGGAGUCUAUCUAUAUAUUGUACUGCUCUCAGAAAUAAAAGACAAGUUUAUUGACAAGCAUAUAUUAUGUGUUCUAUUUCUAUACCUUUCCAGUUUAAUAUUUAAUAGUCAAUACAUUUAUAUCAUAUAAAUUACUAACGAGCUGAUUUGGUAACAGUUCCUAGAGGUUCUCUUGUGCCAAAGAUAUGGAUGAUGAUUGAUAUGAAUAAGAUCAACGGAGAGUCGAUUAGCCUGAGUUAUCAGAUGUUGGCUAGAAGUAAUUAUAUAGCUUUGGCUUUCAAGAUGAUAGUGUUUGUGCUAGCACAGGGAAUUUGGAGGAUGGUAGAACCGAGUGAUGCAGAUUCACCUGUUGAAUAAAAAAGGGACAAAGUUGCCUUGACCAUGAUUUACUCAUACUUGUUGAUACUGUUGGAUAAGUAAACUAACUCUUGGACUUAGAGGAAGAAUCUGGAACUCUGUUAUAUUCAGUGAAUUUAGGAAUAUGUGAGAACACAAUAAUUAUGAUUCAUAGAACUUGGAAGAUGUAUCUAUUUUGAUUCAUGUAUGAUGUUUUAUAUUCUCCUAUUAUAUAAAGUAGAAGAUUGUAUUGUUUUGAAUAAGAUUAAGAAUACAGAGAUAUUUAG
Long non-coding RNA from Daucus carota subsp. sativus, 2101 nucleotides. RefSeq lists it as uncharacterized. The record is from RefSeq and is a predicted model, not a curated record. The transcript is spliced from 3 exons. NCBI's taxonomy places the organism in Eukaryota, Viridiplantae, Streptophyta, Magnoliopsida, Apiales, Apiaceae.